GAUGAAGAACGUAGCGAAAUGCGAUACUUGGUGUGAAUUGCAGAAUCCCGUGAACCAUCGAGUCUUUGAACGCAAGUUGCGCCCGAAGCCAUUAGGCCGAGGGCACGCCUGCCUGGGCGUCACACGUCGUUGCCCCCCCAUCUACUCCUUCGGGAUUGCGGGGGGCGGAUGAUGGCCUCCCGUGCGCCUCGCCGCGCGGUUGGCAUAAAUGCCAAGUCCUCGGCGACGCACGCCACGACAAUCGGUGGUUGCGAAACCUCGGUUGCCCGUCGUGUGCGGUCGUCGCGCAUCGAGGGCUCGAAAAAAUUGCCGGGUUCCGGCUCGGCUUUCAAUGCGACCCCAGGUCAGGCGGGGUUACCCGCUGAAUUUAAGCAUAUCAAUAAGCGGAGGA
This 391-nucleotide unclassified non-coding RNA is filed under the name soil metagenome. RNAcentral describes it as "partial contains 5.8S ribosomal RNA, internal transcribed spacer 2, and large subunit ribosomal RNA". The stretch from base 1 to 122 matches the Rfam family "5.8S ribosomal RNA", at positions 35 to 154 of the family's 154-position model. The record is from RNAcentral.